CCUCUCCACACCUCUGCCCUCCUCCCUCUCCUUCUUCCCUCCCGUGGUGGGUGAUUGUCGCCCAAGAGCAAGAGGGGAUGGACAUCUCUUCUCUGCAGAGGAGGAGGAGAAAAAGGGGGAGGAAUUCCUCACUUCAGAUUAGGUAAAAUGUAUAUAAAAUGUGGGAAACAGUGCAAAAUUUGGUAAAAAAAAAAAAAAUACUACCAGAAUAAGGGUAUAGAGUGCAAGUGAUAAAUUUAAUGAUAAUACAGUGUCAGUUUCUGCAAAAUCCUCAAAAGGAAGCAAAAGCAAGUGUCGCUGAAUAGGUUCCUUAUUAAAGUGCAUGAAAAGAAAAAGAUUGCAGGGAGCCAGUAGCAGCGAUCCCACGAGCGACAGUGACACUCAUCCUCUACAGUAACCCUCCGCUCUGGUCUUCACAAAGGUUCUAGAAGAAGAUUGUCUUAUAGAAGCAGUGCAUACUCUGGAAAUAUGCCUUCAAGUCGAUCUUUCCCUGGGCUUCAGAUAUGUGGAAGUGCUGCUGUCAUAUCCUGGAGAGGAGAGGAGAGGAGAGGAGAGGGGCUAAGUGGAGCGGGCAAAGUGAAAAGUGUCCUUGCCUGGGUUACUUCAUCCUCAACAAAGUCCUUGAAGCAAGUUGGAACAGCAAAUUGGCCCAGUGCACGAGCAGAAGAAAGCAGCUGCACCCCGACAGUCAAGGCUGACUGAAGUUAGCCGGGUGUAUGUGACAAGCAGCAGGAGCAGAGCAGAGGCUACCAUACGAUUUUUAACUUGAUAUAACAUGUCUAUAAGUUUGCUAUUCUAUAACUGUGCCUUUACAAUUUAUAUAACUGUGUCCUUGCAUAUAUAUAUUGGUAUCCCUACAAAGUGUAAUCA
Long non-coding RNA from Cavia porcellus (domestic guinea pig), 870 nucleotides. RefSeq lists it as uncharacterized. The record is from RefSeq and is a predicted model, not a curated record. The transcript has 3 exons. Lineage: Eukaryota; Metazoa; Chordata; Mammalia; Rodentia; Caviidae.